This 209-nucleotide long non-coding RNA is filed under the name Brassica napus (rape). RNAcentral's name for it is "long non-coding RNA (BNAP_LNC026368)". The record is from RNAcentral. Lineage: Eukaryota; Viridiplantae; Streptophyta; Magnoliopsida; Brassicales; Brassicaceae.
AACCAACUAGGGAAUCUUUUUUUUCUUAUUCACUUAGCUCUCUUUUUCUUUUCUUUUCCCCACUCUUUUCAUGUUUCUUUUCUUUUGGUUCUAAAGGGGAUUUUACUCAUAGAUUCUAGAGCUUCUCUCUUCUUUUUUUUUAAAUUUAUAUCCCUACUGGUUUUUUUUUUCAACCCUUUUGGUUCACUUCUUUCACUUUUCUCUCACAC